UUAACGCUGGCGGCAUGCCUAAUACAUGCAAGUUGAACGAGAGUAGCAAUAUUCUAGUAGCGAACGGGUGAGUAACACGUAUCCAACCUACCUUCAUGUAAGGAAUAACUAGUUGAAAAAUUAGCUAAUACCUUAUAGCAACAUUAAACAUAAGUUUUUUGUUUUAAAGAUCCGUUAGGAUCGCUUGAAGAUGGGGGUGCGGUGCAUUAGAUAGUUGGCGGGGUAAUGGCCCACCAAGUCGAUGAUGCAUAGCUGUACUGAGAGGUAGAACAGCCACAAUGGGACUGAGACACGGCCCAUAUUCCUACGGGAAGCAGCAGUAGGGAAUUUUCCACAAUGGGCGAAAGCCUGAUGGAGCAAUGCCGCGUGAGUGAUGACRGCCCUCUGGGUUGUAAAGCUCUUUUAUUAGGAAAAAAUAAACAUGCUAGGAAAUGAGCAUGUYUUGAUUGUACCUUUUGAAUAAGCAACGGCUAACUAUGUGCCAGCAGCCGCGGUAAUACAUAGGUUGCAAGCGUUAUCCGGAUUUAUUGGGCGUAAAGCAAGCGCAGGUUGGUUAUCAAGUCUAGUGUGAAAGGCAAUUGCUUAACAAUUGUUUGCAUUAGAAACUGCUAACCUAGAAUACAGUAGGGAGUUCUGGAAUUCAAUGUGGAGCGGUGGAAUGCGUAGAUAUAUUGAAGAACACCAGUGGCGAAGGCGAGAACUUGGGCUGUUAUUGACGCUUAGGCUUGAAAGUGUGGGGAGCAAAUAGGAUUAGAUACCCUAGUAGUCCACACUGUAAACGAUGGAUAUUAGUUGUUGGGGCUAGAGCCUCGGUGACGUAGCUAACGCAUUAAAUAUCCCGCCUGGGUAGUACAUUCGCAAGAAUGAAACUCAAAGGAAUUGACGGGGACCUGCACAAGUGGUGGAGCAUGUUGCUUAAUUCGACAAUACACGAAAAACCUUACCCAGGUUUGACAUCCCUUGCAAUGUUAUGGAAACAUAUACGGAGGCUAUCAAGGUGACAGGUGGUGCAUGGUUGUCGUCAGCUCGUGUCGUGAGAUGUUUGGUUAAGUCCCGCAACGAGCGCAACCCCUAUCUUUAGUUAUGUGUCUAAAGAGACUGAAGCGAAAGCUAUAGGAAGGUGGGGAUGACGUCAAAUCAUCAUGCCCCUUAUGCCUGGGGCUGCAAACGUGCUACAAUGGUUGGUACAAAGUGUGCAAUGCAGCAAUGCAAAGCUUAAUCACAAAAGCCAAUCUCAGUUCGGAUUGAAGGCUGCAACUCGCCUUCAUGAAGUUGGAAUCACUAGUAAUCGCGUGUCAGCUAUAUCGCGGUGAAUACGUUCUCAGGUCUUGUACACACCGCCCGUCAAACUACGAGAGGUAAGUAUGUCUAAAACCGCAAAAUUAACCUGCAAAGUGGAAUAUGCGUCUAGGAUAGAUUUACUGAUUGGAGUUAAGUCGUAACAAGGUACCCCUACGAGAACGUGGGGGUGGAUCACCUCCUUUCUUUGGAAUUAAAGUUUUUAACUUUUUAGUUAAAAAAUUAAUACAAAUAUAGUGUACUUUUU
RNAcentral lists this ribosomal RNA (1546 nucleotides) under Mycoplasma insons. Its description in RNAcentral is "bacterial SSU rRNA". It matches the Rfam family "Bacterial small subunit ribosomal RNA". Lineage: Bacteria; Bacillati; Mycoplasmatota; Mollicutes; Mycoplasmatales; Mycoplasmataceae. The record is from RNAcentral.